UAUAAAAUGCCUGAAAAAGGGUUAUUCUGAUAGGAUAAAUCAUGUAAUUAAAAAAAUUACUUUUAUAA
This 68-nucleotide transfer RNA is filed under the name Diprioninae sp. GYN-2022c. Its description in RNAcentral is "tRNA-Ile". The record is from RNAcentral. Lineage: Eukaryota; Metazoa; Arthropoda; Insecta; Hymenoptera; Diprionidae.